GACGAACGCUGGCGGCGUGCCUAAUACAUGCAAGUCGAGCGAAGUUUUUCUGGUGCUUGCACUAGAAAAACUUAGCGGCGAACGGGUGAGUAACACGUAAAGAACCUGCCUCAUAGACUGGGACAACUAUUGGAAACGAUAGCUAAUACCGGAUAACAGCAUUAACUGCAUGGUUGAUGUUUGAAAGUUGGUUAUGCUAACACUAUGAGAUGGCUUUGCGGUGCAUUAGCUAGUUGGUGGGGUAAAGGCCCACCAAGGCGACGAUGCAUAGCCGACCUGAGAGGGUGAUCGGCCACACUGGGACUGAGACACGGCCCAGACUCCUACGGGAGGCAGCAGUAGGGAAUCUUCCGCAAUGGGCGAAAGCCUGACGGAGCAACGCCGCGUGAGUGAAGAAGGAUUUCGGUUCGUAAAGCUCUGUUGUUAGGGAAGAAUGGAUAUGUAGUAACUAUACAUGUACGAGACGGUACCUAACCAGAAAGCCACG
This 487-nucleotide ribosomal RNA is filed under the name Gemella morbillorum. RNAcentral describes it as "bacterial SSU rRNA". It matches the Rfam family "Bacterial small subunit ribosomal RNA", at positions 28 to 495 of the family's 1533-position model. The record is from RNAcentral. Lineage: Bacteria; Bacillati; Bacillota; Bacilli; Caryophanales; Gemellaceae.